RNAcentral lists this long non-coding RNA (442 nucleotides) under Mytilus galloprovincialis (Mediterranean mussel). The record is from RNAcentral. Lineage: Eukaryota; Metazoa; Mollusca; Bivalvia; Mytilida; Mytilidae.
UUUUAAUAUAUACCGUUAAUUUUCUUAUUUGAAUUGUUUACAUUAUUUAUGUCGUGGCCUUUUAUAGCCUUUGAGGUAUGGGUUUUUAUCAUUGUUGAAAGCCGUAUGGUUUAUAAUUGCUCACAUCCAUUUUAUUUGAACUCUGGUGUAUAGUUGUCCCUUUGAAAAUCAUACCAAUCUUUGUAAAAUAGAAAUCACACCUGUUUACAUACUUAGUCUAGUAUAAUAAUUUAAAAAAAACACACAUUUCUCAUUUAUUCCGUAUUUUACUUAUAACUGGACUUAGUUUUUCUGCUAGAUCUUAUUUGUCUCACUCUCAGAUAAUAUGAUAUGUUUAAAGGACUUCGGUCUAAAUGUUUCAGCUGCUUUCGGUUCAGUUUAGUUUUGUAUUUUGUGUCCAAAACGGACGUUGAUUAGAGAAGCUCAAAAUCGGACGUCGAUU